RNAcentral lists this ribosomal RNA (253 nucleotides) under uncultured bacterium. RNAcentral describes it as "partial 16S ribosomal RNA". It matches the Rfam family "Bacterial small subunit ribosomal RNA", at positions 524 to 776 of the family's 1533-position model. The record is from RNAcentral.
UACGUAGGUGGCGAGCGUUGUCCGGAUUUACUGGGCGUAAAGAGCGCGCAGGCGGUCGUACAAGUCGCGUGUGAAAGCCCCCGGCUCAACUGGGGAGGGUCACGCGAUACUGUUCGACUCGAAGGCAGGAGAGGGUAGUGGAAUUCCCGGUGUAGUGGUGAAAUGCGUAGAUAUCGGGAGGAACACCAGUGGCGAAGGCGACUACCUGGCCUGUUCUUGACGCUGAGGCGCGAAAGCUAGGGGAGCGAACGGG